CCUACGGGCGGUAGCAGUGGGGAAUAUUGCACAAUGGGGGCAACCCUGAUGCAGCGACGCCGCGUGAGUGAAGAAGGAUUUCGGGAUGUAAAGCUCUAUCAGCCGGGGAGAAAAUGACGGUACCUGUUUAAGAAGCCCCGGCUAACUACGGGCCAGCAGCCGCGGUAAUACGGAGGGGGCAAGCGUUAUUCGGAUUUACUGGGUGUAAAGGGAGCGUAGACGGCAGCGCAAGUCUGAAGUGAAAUGCCGGGGCUUAACCCCAGAACUGCCUUGGAAACUGUGCAGCUUGAGUGCAGGUGAGGUAGGUGGAAUGCGUAGUGUAGCGGUGAAAUGCGUAGAUAUUAGGAGGAACCCCAGUGGCGAAGGCGGCUUACCGAGCUAUAACUGACGUUGAGGCUCGAAAGCGUGGGGAGCAAACAGGAUUAGAUACCCCUGUAGUC
RNAcentral lists this ribosomal RNA (440 nucleotides) under uncultured bacterium. RNAcentral's name for it is "partial 16S ribosomal RNA". It matches the Rfam family "Bacterial small subunit ribosomal RNA", at positions 338 to 795 of the family's 1533-position model. The record is from RNAcentral.